AGUCCUUAACUGACGCUAAUGCUCGAAAGUGCGGGUAUCGAACAGGAUUAGAUACCCUGGUAGUCCGCACGGUAAACGAUGGAUGCCCGCUGUUGGCGAUACACAGUCAGCGGCCAAGCGAAAGCGUUAAGCAUCCCACCUGGGGAGUACGCCGGCAACGGUGAAACUCAAAGGAAUUGACGGGGGCCCGCACAAGCGGAGGAACAUGUGGUUUAAUUCGAUGAUACGCGAGGAACCUUACCCGGGCUUGAACUGCAGGAGAACGAUUCAGAGAUGAUGAGGUCCUUCGGGACUCCUGUGGAGGUGCUGCAUGGUUGUCGUCAGCUCGUGCCGUGAGGUGUCGGCUUAAGUGCCAUAACGAGCGCAACCCCUUUCUUCAGUUGCCAUCAGGUCGAGCUGGGCACUCUGGAGACACUGCCACCGUAAGGUGUGAGGAAGGUGGGGAUGACGUCAAAUCAGCACGGCCCUUACGUCCGGGGCUACACACGUGUUACAAUGGGUGGUACAGAGAGCGGGCUGCCUGCAAAGUCAGCCGAAUCAUGAAAGCCAUCCUCAGUUCGGAUUGGGGUCUGCAACCCGACCCCAUGAAGCUGGAUUCGCU
This 601-nucleotide ribosomal RNA is filed under the name uncultured bacterium. Its description in RNAcentral is "bacterial SSU rRNA". It matches the Rfam family "Bacterial small subunit ribosomal RNA", at positions 731 to 1336 of the family's 1533-position model. The record is from RNAcentral.